RNAcentral lists this ribosomal RNA (768 nucleotides) under uncultured bacterium. RNAcentral describes it as "bacterial SSU rRNA". It matches the Rfam family "Bacterial small subunit ribosomal RNA", at positions 28 to 807 of the family's 1533-position model. The record is from RNAcentral.
GAUGAACGCUGGCGGCGUGCCUAACACAUGCAAGUCGAACGGACUUUUCAUGAAGCCUAGCGAUUGGAAAGUUAGUGGCGGACGGGUGAGUAACGCGUGGGUAACCUGCCUUGUACUGGGGGACAACAGUUGGAAACGACUGCUAAUACCGCAUAAGCGCACAGCUUCGCAUGAAGCAGUGUGAAAAACUCCGGUGGUACAAGAUGGACCCGCGUCUGAUUAGCUGGUUGGUGAGGUAACGGCCCACCAAGGCGACGAUCAGUAGCCGGCCUGAGAGGGUGAACGGCCACAUUGGGACUGAGACACGGCCCAAACUCCUACGGGAGGCAGCAGUGGGGGAUAUUGCACAAUGGGGGAAACCCUGAUGCAGCAACGCCGCGUGAGUGAAGAAGUAUUUCGGUAUGUAAAGCUCUAUCAGCAGGAAAGAAAAUGACGGUACCUGACUAAGAAGCCCCGGCUAACUACGUGCCAGCAGCCGCGGUAAUACGUAGGGGGCAAGCGUUAUCCGGAUUUACUGGGUGUAAAGGGAGCGUAGACGGUUUUGCAAGUCUGAAGUGAAAGCCCGGGGCUUAACCCCGGGACUGCUUUGGAAACUGUAGAACUAGAGUGCAGGAGAGGUAAGUGGAAUUCCUAGUGUAGCGGUGAAAUGCGUAGAUAUUAGGAGGAACACCAGUGGCGAAGGCGGCUUACUGGACUGUAACUGACGUUGAGGCUCGAAAGCGUGGGGAGCAAACAGGAUUAGAUACCCUGGUAGUCCACGCCGUAAAC